This is a long non-coding RNA of Portunus trituberculatus (swimming crab), 541 nucleotides long. RefSeq lists it as uncharacterized. The record is from RefSeq and is a predicted model, not a curated record. The transcript is spliced from 3 exons. NCBI's taxonomy places the organism in Eukaryota, Metazoa, Arthropoda, Malacostraca, Decapoda, Portunidae.
CUCACUACCACUAAUGGUACUAAGAAUUUUUUUUAUUGUUAACACUUCCCAUCAUGAUGUCUGAGUCGCCAUCUGCCUUGCGCUCUAUAAUAUCAAGAGAGACGCCGUAAGACAAACAUUUAUAGGAUCUCAUGACACGAACAGCUGGGCGGGGACUCACUCACGAAGGAGCCAUAAAACUGGUCCUUCGCUGCCUCCUGUCAUGGUAUCCUACGCCCCUGCAACACGCCUGUCCCCGCAACGCACCCCACACAGGAAGACCCGAAGGUGAAUUACUGAGGACGCAAUAAGUUAAAUGUCACGAGUCCAAGCAAGGGUGAGAUGCAGGAAUAGGGAAGAAAUGUUGACCGUGAUUCUCGUUUUCUAAUUUCAUGUUUCUUUUUCUCUUUUCGUGAUUUUUUUAGUUUUUUUUUUUUUGGAUUGAGUUAUUUUUAUUGAUUUAUAUUUAAGGAUUUUUUUUUUUUCUUUAUGUUGUAUUUUGUGUCUUUAUUUUUUUGUAUAUUUUCUUUAUGAAUUGUUUUAGACACGUUACUUUCCUUUG